RNAcentral lists this transfer RNA (66 nucleotides) under Anachauliodes laboissierei. Its description in RNAcentral is "tRNA-Asp". Lineage: Eukaryota; Metazoa; Arthropoda; Insecta; Megaloptera; Corydalidae. The record is from RNAcentral.
AAAGAAUUAGUUAAAUUAACCUUAGUAUGUCAAACUAAAAUUAUUAGUAAAAUCUAAUAUUCUUUU